Syngnathus acus (greater pipefish) is the source of this 571-nucleotide long non-coding RNA. RefSeq lists it as uncharacterized. The transcript is spliced from 2 exons. The record is from RefSeq and is a predicted model, not a curated record. Lineage: Eukaryota; Metazoa; Chordata; Actinopteri; Syngnathiformes; Syngnathidae.
UUCACUUUGGACCAGUUGUCUCGGUUGUCCGUAUUUGUCUUGCAGAGCUCCCACUGCGGCUGUGUAUGGUGCCGGGUCAUACAUGUAUGAUUUGGCCAACUGCAGAGCACUCGGGAGCUUGAGCUGACCCAGGAGCACUUGAUAUUUAUAGUGUUCGCUGAGAUGAGUGUGACUGUUCAUCAAGUUGUCGAGUGCCAUCUUCAAAAGUGCAAAGUCACUUUCUUUACCACUCUCAAAGAAGGGAAGUGUUGGUUUGGGAAUGCCAUAGGAUGUAGCAAUCAAGACAAAGAGAGACAUGGUGGUGGAAUGACAGCGUCGAAAGAGCGGUGAAUGAGAAGAGGAGGUGCCAUAAAGUAUGGAAGAAAUCUAAAAGGGAGGCAGACCGAGUGCGGUAUGUAGAGGCAAGGAGGGCGUCACGGACAGCAGUGUGGGAGGCCCAAGAGACCAAGAGGAAAGAAUUUGCAAGUGAAUUGGAGAGUGAGAGAGGACAAAAGAGCUUCUUCAAGAUAGCGAAGCAAAUGGUUAAGGAGAGGCGUGAUGUGACCGGUGCAAACUGUGUGAAGGAUGAGGA